This 513-nucleotide ribosomal RNA is filed under the name uncultured Actinomyces sp. RNAcentral's name for it is "partial 16S ribosomal RNA". The record is from RNAcentral. Lineage: Bacteria; Bacillati; Actinomycetota; Actinomycetes; Actinomycetales; Actinomycetaceae.
CACGUAGUUAGCCGGCGCUUCUUAUCCAGCUACCGUCAACCCACCCACAAGGAGCGGGCCUGCUUCACUGGCGAAAGAGGUUCACAACCCGAAGGCCUCCAUCCCUCACGCGGCGUCGCUGCAUCAGGCUUCCGCCCAUUGUGCAAUAUUCCCCACUGCUGCCUCCCGUAGGAGUCUGGGCCGUGUCUCAGUCCCAGUGUGGCCGUCCACCCUCUCAGGCCGGCUACCCGUCAACGCCUUGGUAGGCCAUCACCCCACCAACAAGCUGAUAGGCCGCGAGCCCAUCCCCCACCAGAAAAAACCUUUCCCAACCCACCCAUGCGGACAGGCCAGAAUAUCCCGUAUUAACACCACUUUCGUGGCGGUAUCCAGAAGAAAGGGGCAGGUUACUCACGUGUUACUCACCCGUUCGCCACUCAUCCACCCCAACAAAAGCCAGGAGCUUCACCGUUCGACUUGCAUGUGUUAAGCACGCCGCCAGCGUUCGUCCUCGAGCCACGGAGUCAAACUCUA